GAUUGAACGCUGGCGGCAGGCCUAACACAUGCAAGUCGAACGGUAACAUUUCUAGCUUGCUAGAAGAUGACGAGUGGCGGACGGGUGAGUAAUGCUUGGGAACUUGCCUUUGCGAGGGGGAUAACAGUUGGAAACGACUGCUAAUACCGCAUAACGUCUACGGACCAAACGGGGCUUAGGCUCCGGCGCAAAGAGAGGCCCAAGUGAGAUUAGCUAGUUGGUAAGGUAAUGGCUUACCAAGGCAACGAUCUCUAGCUGUUCUGAGAGGAAGAUCAGCCACACUGGAACUGAGACACGGUCCAGACUCCUACGGGAGGCAGCAGUGGGGAAUAUUGCACAAUGGGGGAAACCCUGAUGCAGCCAUGCCGCGUGUGUGAAGAAGGCCUUCGGGUUGUAAAGCACUUUCAGUUGUGAGGAAAAGUUAGUAGUUAAUACCUGCUAGCCGUGACGUUAACAACAGAAGAAGCACCGGCUAACUCCGUGCCAGCAGCCGCGGUAAUACGGAGGGUGCGAGCGUUAAUCGGAAUUACUGGGCGUAAAGCGCACGCAGGCGGUUUGUUAAGCUAGAUGUGAAAGCCCCGGGCUCAACCUGGGAUAGUCAUUUAGAACUGGCAGACUAGAGUCUUGGAGAGGGGAGUGGAAUUCCAGGUGUAGCGGUGAAAUGCGUAGAUAUCUGGAGGAACAUCAGUGGCGAAGGCGACUCCCUGGCCAAAGACUGACGCUCAUGUGCGAAAGUGUGGGUAGCGAACAGGA
This 753-nucleotide ribosomal RNA is filed under the name uncultured marine microorganism. Its description in RNAcentral is "bacterial SSU rRNA". It matches the Rfam family "Bacterial small subunit ribosomal RNA", at positions 27 to 777 of the family's 1533-position model. The record is from RNAcentral.